Molecule: long non-coding RNA, 234 nt
Organism: Talpa occidentalis (Iberian mole)
Lineage: Eukaryota; Metazoa; Chordata; Mammalia; Eulipotyphla; Talpidae
Exons: 3
Source: RefSeq, a predicted model, not a curated record
GCUCAUAACAACAUCUGAUGAAAGUUUAUGGGUGGAUAUGUGUGAUAACAUCAUUUGAAUCCUGCUAGCUAAGAACUUAACUCUUUUCCAUUCAAGAACAAACAACUUCCACCUUUCAAAAAAGAUUUCCUAAAAAGAGAGAAGAAACCAUCCAGUAUUUGGGCUAAGAAAUGGGACAUAAGAGAUCCAGUCAAAGCAUGGAGAAAGUACCCAAAAUAUAGAGCAAGGCACUGA